UUUCCAUAGCUUAACCCCAUUGAAAUUGACAAUUUUGAGUUAAAAAUUUUCAAAUUGCCUAAUAUUUGACAUGCAUGUUUGGAAUGACUAGAAUUGAGGUUUCACCUUAUUAAGCCCUACAAAUAAUAGCCAAAUGAAGUUAAACAUAUUUUUCAACAUGCUACAAUAACACCUUGUAAAAUUCAUUUUAACUACGUUUAUUCUUUACAAGGAUUACCAAGAUGAAAUUUAAUU
This 234-nucleotide long non-coding RNA is filed under the name Linum usitatissimum (flax). RNAcentral's name for it is "long non-coding RNA (LUSI_LNC004220)". The record is from RNAcentral. Lineage: Eukaryota; Viridiplantae; Streptophyta; Magnoliopsida; Malpighiales; Linaceae.